GGGUUGUGAGGUUAAGCGACUAAGCGUACACGGUGGAUGCCUGGCAGUCAGAGGCGAUGAAGGACGUGCUAAUCUGCGAAAAGCGUCGGUAAGGUGAUAUGAACCGUUACAGCCGGCGAUGUCCGAAUGGGGAAACCC
This 138-nucleotide ribosomal RNA is filed under the name Klebsiella pneumoniae. Its description in RNAcentral is "partial 23S ribosomal RNA". It matches the Rfam family "Bacterial large subunit ribosomal RNA", at positions 1 to 129 of the family's 2925-position model. The record is from RNAcentral. Lineage: Bacteria; Pseudomonadati; Pseudomonadota; Gammaproteobacteria; Enterobacterales; Enterobacteriaceae.